UGCGGCGGCGGCCGUUUCUCCCAGACUGCGUCGGGGGCGGGGGUGUCUCGUCCCCGGCGGCGGCCUGAGACUCGUUAUAGCGGCUCGUGUUAUGGUACGGACAGUUGUUUUUCUUAGGCUGUGCUCCGUGGAGCGCCUCUCCCCGCAGCCCGGGUUCACGGAUGCGACUCACUCUCCGAGGCCGCGACGCCAGAGUGGCCGGCGUCUGCGACCAGCGUCGAGGCCUGGGUUCGUGUCGGAACUGCGCUCGGCCGCACCCUUUCCUGGUCGGCCUUUCAGUCACCUCGACCCGCUGUGGAAGUGGACGAAGACGCCUUGAAGGGGGCUAGGAACGGCUGUCGGCCCAGAACCCGCUACAGCGAGGCAGUCCGCAGCCAUCCUGUGCGUUCCGCGGAGGCCAGAGGCGGGCAGGGGAGCGGCCGGUGUCGAGUGUGGAAGCUGAGACCGCCUAGCUAUAAGCGGGCCUCGUAGGUUUAGGAUUGCUUAGGGGAGAAUUAUUUUGCUUUCUCCGGUUGGCCCUAAGUGGGACGGGCAAAAAAUAAAAAAUAGGGAAGCUGGCAGUUAGUGACCAAGUCCUGUUUGGGCCCUAUUGCUGCAGAGGUUAUGGGUCCGUUCUGUUACAUAUGGUCUGUUGUUGAGUGUGCUGUCUCACUGCGUUGUGGGGUCAGAGUCUGAGACCCGCCAGCAGCUGACCCACCCCGGCUCUCAGAAGGGAGACCACAGGAACCUUCCCAGGCCGGCGGAAGCCACUCUGGAUCUGCUCAAACCUCGACCCUGAACUCUGAGGUACCAUCAGCUUGGGCAGCAUGAGAAUGCAGAAUAGCCCCUCAACAUCCCUCAGGAAAAUCAGGCAUUCAAGGACUGCUUGUUGAGCAAGUGACCCAAAGCAUGUACAUCUCCCAGCUCUGCCACUUCUACUUCUGUCCCUUUGCACAACUUGCUGAGUUUCCUUCUGUUCACCCACAAAUCAGGAAGAAUACUGCCGGCCUGGGAAGGUUAUUGUGCGCACUAAGAUACUGAAAUGAAGCAGGGGCUCUGAUGGUUGUCCAGAUUGUUGGCUGUCAUUAAAUGCCAGCUUUGAAGAGUAAUAAGGGGGGUUGUUUCUGUGUUCUGUGAUCCGAGGCUCUGAGGAAAGCCAGGUCUCAGCUUGUGAACUGGGCCAUUUUCUCCAGCCUUCAGAUGACUCAUAAUUCUACCUCAUCCAUUUCUACAAGUGCAGCUGCCUCUCCCCCAGAUGUUACAUUUGCAUCCUUUUCUAGCAGACAACAGUCCUUGUCUCAAGCUCACAAAAAAAGUCUGAGCAUCCUCCUCAUCCAGACUGUUAGACUUUUCCUCCCUAACCAAUCUCCACAUUUCUGUGAGAACUGAGAUUCAUUCCACUAGAAUCAAACCACUAGUUCCCUUUAGGUUGCCAACCCCAGGCACAGUGUCUGCCCCCAUACCCUCCAGCAGAUCCAGUGCUUCCCAUUGAGAUACACCAUCCCUUAUGGCACAGAUCAGCACCCACCGGUAGAAACUUGCAAAUCAUGUAUAACCCAUGCUUUAGUUUGCUAUCAAUGCAGAAACAAAUUACCACAAAGUUAGUGGCUUGAACAAUACAGAUUUGUUAUUUUACCAUCCUGGAGGUUAGAAGUCUAUCACUGGGCUGAAAUCAAGGUGUCUCCAGGACUGUGUUCAUUCUGAAGGCUCUAGAAAAUGAGUCCAUUUCCUUGUCUUUACCAGCCUUUAGAAGCCACUCACAUUCCUUGGCUUAUGGCCCUGCAUCACUCCAAUCCCUGCUUUUGUCAUCAUAUCUUCCUCUCUUACUCAUACCCUUCUGUCUCCCUCUUAUAAUGACCUUUGUGAUGACACUGGGCCCAUGGGGAUAAUCCAGGAUGAUCUCCCUGUUUCAAAAUCCUAACAUAAUUGAUGACAACUGCAAAGUCCCUCUGGCCAUGUGAAGCACCAUUUUCACAGGUUCUGGGGACCAGCAGUGGACAUCUGUGGGGCCGUCACUGUGCCUCCCAUGAUCCCCCAGAUUCAAAGACACUGAGCCCUGAUGGCAAACUCGUGAAUGUAAUGGUGGGU
Non-coding RNA from Leptonychotes weddellii (Weddell seal), 2067 nucleotides. NCBI's taxonomy places the organism in Eukaryota, Metazoa, Chordata, Mammalia, Carnivora, Phocidae. The record is from RefSeq and is a predicted model, not a curated record.